AUGAACGCUGGCGGCGUGCCUAAUACAUGCAAGUCGAGCGAACAGACGAGGAGCUUGCUCCUCUGACGUUAGCGGCGGACGGGUGAGUAACACGUGGAUAACCUACCUAUAAGACUGGGAUAACUUCGGGAAACCGGAGCUAAUACCGGAUAAUAUAUUGAACCGCAUGGUUCAAUAGUGAAAGACGGUUUUGCUGUCACUUAUAGAUGGAUCCGCGCCGCAUUAGCUAGUUGGUAAGGUAACGGCUUACCAAGGCAACGAUGCGUAGCCGAUCUGAGAGGGUGAUCGGCCACACUGGAACUGAGACACGGUCCAGACUCCUACGGGAGGCAGCAGUAGGGAAUCUUCCGCAAUGGGCGAAAGCCUGACGGAGCAACGCCGCGUGAGUGAUGAAGGUCUUCGGAUCGUAAAACUCUGUUAUCAGGGAAGAACAAAUGUGUAAGUAACUAUGCACGUCUUGACGGUACCUAAUCAGAAAGCCACGGCUAACUACGUG
Molecule: ribosomal RNA, 496 nt
Filed under: uncultured bacterium
Lineage: Bacteria
Description: partial 16S ribosomal RNA
Rfam family: Bacterial small subunit ribosomal RNA
Source: RNAcentral